UAGGGAAUCUUCGGCAAUGGACGAAAGUCUGACCGAGCAACGCCGCGUGAGUGAAGAAGGUUUUCGGAUCGUAAAAACUCUGUUGGUAGAGAAGAACGUUGGUGAGAGUGGAAAGCUCAUCAAGUGACGGUAACUACCCAGAAAGGGACGGCUAACUACGUGCUAG
RNAcentral lists this ribosomal RNA (166 nucleotides) under uncultured bacterium. RNAcentral's name for it is "partial 16S rRNA". It matches the Rfam family "Bacterial small subunit ribosomal RNA", at positions 355 to 511 of the family's 1533-position model. The record is from RNAcentral.